This 433-nucleotide ribosomal RNA is filed under the name uncultured bacterium. Its description in RNAcentral is "partial 16S ribosomal RNA". It matches the Rfam family "Bacterial small subunit ribosomal RNA", at positions 29 to 507 of the family's 1533-position model. The record is from RNAcentral.
AACGAACGCUGGCGGCAUGCCUAACACAUGCAAGUCGAACGAGACCUUCGGGUCUAGUGGCGCACGGGUUCGUAACGCGUGGGAACCUUCCCUUAGGUUCGGAAUAACUCUCCGACAGGGGUGCUAAUACCGGAUAAUGUCUUCUGACCAAAGAUUUAUUGCCUUUGGUUGGACCCGAGUUGGAUUAGAUAGUUGGUAGGGUAAUAGCAUACUAAGGCGACGAUGAACAGAUGGUAUGAGAGGCUGAUCAGCGACACUGGGACUGAGAAGCGGCCGAGACUCCUACGGGAGGCAGGAGUGGGGGAUAUUGGAACGUGGGCGGAAGCCUGAUGCAGCUAUGACGGGUAAGUGAUGAAGGCCGUAGGGAUGUAAAGCGCUUUUACCCGGGAUGAUAAUGACAGUACCGAGAGAAUAAGCCCCGGCUAACUCCGUG